RNAcentral lists this ribosomal RNA (518 nucleotides) under uncultured bacterium. Its description in RNAcentral is "bacterial SSU rRNA". It matches the Rfam family "Bacterial small subunit ribosomal RNA", at positions 29 to 524 of the family's 1533-position model. The record is from RNAcentral.
AACGAACGUUGGCGGCGUGGAUGAGGCAUGCAAGUCGAACGCGAAAGCCGCAAGGUGAGUAGAGUGGCGGACGGGCGAGUAACACGUAAUCAAGCUACCUGCGAGACGGGGAUAACUUCGGGAAACCGAAGCUAAGACCCGAUGGUCUGCCGGGACCGCAUGGUUUUGGUAGUAAAUGGGCGGGAUCCUUUGGGAUCGCCUGCUCGCAGAGGUGAUUGCGGCCCAUCAGCUAGUUGGUAGGGUAACGGCCUACCAAGGCAACGACGGGUAGCCGGCCUUAGAGGGUGGUCGGCCGCACUGGGACUGAGACACUGCCCAGACUCCUACGGGAGGCUGCAGUCGAGAAUCUUCCGCAAUGGGCGAAAGCCUGACGGGGCGACGCCGCGUGGAGGACGAAGGCCUUCGGGUUGUAAACGUCCUGUCACGAGUUAAGAAGGUGGUUCUUCGAACAGAGGGAUCAUUUGACGUAAGCUCGAGAGGAAGCACUGGCUAACUCUAGUGCCAGCAGCCGCGGUAAU